AGAAAGAUGCCUGACAAAAAGGAUUAUUCUGAUAGGAUAAAUAAUGUAAAAAAAAAAAUGCUCUUUCUG
This 69-nucleotide transfer RNA is filed under the name Epeurysa nawaii. Its description in RNAcentral is "tRNA-Ile". The record is from RNAcentral. Lineage: Eukaryota; Metazoa; Arthropoda; Insecta; Hemiptera; Delphacidae.